RNAcentral lists this ribosomal RNA (119 nucleotides) under Nelumbo nucifera (sacred lotus). The record is from RNAcentral. Lineage: Eukaryota; Viridiplantae; Streptophyta; Magnoliopsida; Proteales; Nelumbonaceae.
GGGUGCGAUCAUAUUAGCACUAAUGCACCGGAUCCCAUUAGAACUCCGAAGUUAAGCGUGCUUGGGCGAGAGUAUUACUAGGAUGGGUGACUUCCUGAGAAGUCCUCGUGUUGCACCCU